This 81-nucleotide microRNA precursor is filed under the name Bombyx mori (domestic silkworm). RNAcentral's name for it is "mir-2807 microRNA precursor family". It matches the Rfam family "mir-2807 microRNA precursor family". The record is from Rfam by way of RNAcentral. Lineage: Eukaryota; Metazoa; Arthropoda; Insecta; Lepidoptera; Bombycidae.
UUAACGCAAAUAUGUAUGGAAUUGGAAUGUUUUCCUAUGUUUGCCGCUAGGGGCGCUGUUCCAAUUGCAUACUUUGAGUUA